AGAGCUCAAGAAAUAUAUAAAAGACACUGUGAAGAAAAAUUUGUUAAUGAAAUGAUUGCCUUUCAAAAAGCUUGUGAAAGAUUUCAAGAUGCUCAAACAAAAGCUGCAACUGUGAAAAAGGAAUUUAAUCUUUAAAAUUUCCAAAAGAAUGACAAAGUGAACUGAUGGCAGAUCAUAUUCUGUGGUCAUUUUGAAUUAUGUUCAUUGUUUUUAUUUAAAGAACUUUGAAAUAAUUACAUGAAAGGAGUAUUCCAUGUCUCAAGAUGGUUUUAUAUAUAAGCUCAUAAAAAUGUAAAGAAUAAUUAAAAUGUUCUCUUUUGAUCAUAAUUUAACUUAAAUCAAUUUGAAUUGACAUUCCUAAAAUUUCCAGAUAUUCAGGGAAUAAUUAAACCCAAUUUAAUCUAUUGCAGGAAAAUUGCUAAGGCAUUGCUUGUAUUGUUUCAUAUCCUAAAUAGAGAAAUCCAUAAGCUAUUUUCAGUUUCUCUGACAAACUUAGCAUAGUAAAUUCUGCCCAAGUUACUGACUUUUAUUAAGAUACUAUGUUCUUUUAGUUUCAUUACCUGCUUUCAUAUAUUUAAUUAUAUUUUCUGUUUACUUUGUUAAAACACUUUCUGAAUUUCUUUUUUAAAAUAAAGAUUUCACCAUUAUGUCAGUGAUGGAUGUUCUUAUAAAAACUCAUAAAAUAUAAAUUGUAGAAGGGAAAUUAAACAUUCCUGUUAACUUCCUAGAAGACUGUUAAGAAUUUUGUAUAUUUACUUUCAAUGUGUUUGCCUUUUACCUCUCUGCCUCUCUGGUGCAGAGAGGUGUGAAGAGACAGAGAGAGGACACAUAUAAUUGAGUAUUUGUGAUCAUAAAAUACACAGAAAUGGUAUAUACUAAUUUAAGUCUGUUUAAUAUAUAUUCAUGGUAGAAUUUGAAAAGUUAAAAAAAAUAUAAAAGUCCUUUGUAAAAUUUUAGUUUAUUUUCAGUGUUUCCAUAUAUCUGGAAAGAUACAUAUGUCACUAUUAUUACAACAUUGCUAACUUAAUACACUGUAGCUAAUACUAUUCAAAAUUUCUCUUUAAUACUCAUCAGUUAUAAAUGUGUUUUUAAAAGUGUUUCUUUUUAAAAUUCUCUGAUUUUAUUACUCUAAAUUAAGUUUCCAAAAAUUAAGUAUUUUAUAACAGCAGUUAUUCAUUGUGCUUCUAUGAUGGACUGCGAAAAAAUGCUGGUAGCACUUUCCUAAUUUCCUGUAAAAAUAAUAGCUGCUUAUUUAAAUCCAUGGCCCCAGAGCUCCCUUUUCUUGUUAAUUUGCAGAUAACUAAUGAGCAAGUCAUAUUGGUUUUUCUAAUUAUUCUUGGAAAAGAACAAAGGGAGAUACUUUGAGGUGGUAAAAGUAUGACAGAUGUAGAUUUUCAUAGCAAAUUAGAUAAUUUCUCUGUAAUCCUGUUUUUAUAUUCUGUUUUUGGAAAUAAUAUGUAUCUUUUUGGGGAUUUUAUUGAAAAUAGUAGUCUAUAUCAUAUCCUACUGUUAUCAGACUUGAAUACAAAAAACAAAAAGCAACAUAGUGCCUUCCACAGAGUAAGAAUUGAAGGUAAGUGUGUAGUCAUAGAGGCAGAAUCUUUUCUGUGUAGUUAUAGGGGGAUUUGUCAACUAAGUAAGAGCUGAGGGACAGUCUGUCAAGGAUUGGUGGUUUGUUGGCAUGAUGUAUUUGAAUAUAAUUCAUUCUUUCAGUCUAAACAUUUAUUGAAUAUUUGUUGCCCUUCCUCUAUACUCCCAUUCCAUACCACAGAUCUUUUAUAACCUUUAUCACACAACAGGUAAUCAAUAAUUUCCUUGAUUCAUUCCCCCAACCUGAGCAUUUUAGGGCAAAGACUAUUUUACUCAUCUCUGUGUUUCCAUUACUUUGUACUAGUGCAGAUUUUAUGUUAUGCACAAUGCUUUUUCUGUUCAUAGUUUUCUUUUCCUGUUUAUGUGCUGUCCCAGGUCCAUCUCAUGACUUUUAAUCAUUUCUUACUAUUUAUGUUUUUGAAGAAUCAGAAAUCUGUAUCUCUAGGUUAUAUCUUAAGUUCAAUAUAUCUUCUACAUUUCCAAAUGCAUGCAGAGACCUCUUCUUCAAAGGCCUAGAAUCUUUUAAAAAUACUACAUUGAAAUAGAAUUUAUUGUGUUUUUGUUGUUGUUGUUGUUUGUUUUACUAUUUUGCUCCCUUUCCAAUCUUGCUUCUCUUUCUAUAUUCUAAACUCCCAUAGGUUCAUAGCCAUUUAAAUAGUUUCCCAUAUUAAAAGUUUAGAAUAUACCUUUUUUUUUUCUCUUAUUCCACCUCAUCUGAAUAAAUACAAAGUCUAAAAAUUUUAUCUGCAGGUCUCUUUGGCAGAGACUGGCUAGCUUUUCACCAAACCUAUUUUCUAUUUCCUCAGGACACAAUUAGCUUAUUUUUGCUAGCCUCCCAUGAAAAGUUAAUUGAGGCACAGGACUGAAUUCUGACUAGCAAAAUCGGGGUAAAAAUGAUUGGCAGCCCUUCCAGUUUCCUUAGCAGAACUAGCAACUGCUAUAAGCCUGAAGCAGUAUCCAAGGAUUACAGCAGCAGCAUCUCAUUUUAGAAGAAAAUUAAGAGGUCAGUUAGCAACUUUUUCUUAUUUUUCUUUCUUAGAACCAAGAGAAAGAAUCUAUGAGAAAAUGUGACUGUUAGAGAUGCAGAUCCUUCUUUCAUCUUUUCAUCAAUAGAGAUGUGCACCAACCAGAAUCUCUCUUCAUGCUUGAUGGCCCAGAAUAACAGAUCCUCUAGGAUAACAGAUCCUCCGUUCCCAGUGGCUUAGUCCUACUUAAUUUCUCACUGAUACUACAUGUCCAGUGGGCCUGAGACCUCUGUAUUACUUGUACCCAGCAAGACAAAUUUUGGCCUGCAUUUAAUCCCAUGGAAGAAUCAUUCCCCUAACCACACUCCUGCUGCCUCAUAAAGGAGUAUUCUGAGAGUUAAUCAUGCAGAGUCUCCCCUACAACGGCUGGAGGAAGUAAGAGAAAACCUUUGUCAGGUGUCUACUAGUUCAAGAACUAUGGAUGCAUGCUCUCUACCUUUUCCUCAUUUUAUCCUCAAAAAUCCAUGGAAAGGUAGGUACUAGGAUCCCCAUGUCUUAGCUGAAAAAACAGACUGAGUUAUUUAGUAAUUUUCAAAAUGCAAUGCAGAUAGCAAAGGACCUG
RNAcentral lists this long non-coding RNA (3177 nucleotides) under Sus scrofa (pig). RNAcentral's name for it is "lncRNA (ENSSSCG00015067170.1, ENSSSCG00030007256.1)". The record is from RNAcentral. Lineage: Eukaryota; Metazoa; Chordata; Mammalia; Artiodactyla; Suidae.